GACGAACGCUGGCGGCGUGCCUAAUACAUGCAAGUAGGACGCAGUUGCGAACGGGUGAGUAACGCGUAGGUAACUACCUAUUAGAGGGGGAUAACUAUUGGAAACGAUAGCUAAUACCGCAUACUAGUAGAUGGACCUGCGUUGUAUUAGCUAGUAGGUAGGGUAAUGGCCUACCUAGGCAACGAAACAUAGCCGACCGUAUGGGGUGAUCGGCCACAGUGGGACGAGGACAAGGCCCAGACUCCGACGGGAGGCAGCGUGAGGGAAUGUGCGGCAAUGGGGGGAACCCUGACCGAUCAAAGCGGCGGGAGGGAGGAGGGUUUUGGGAUGGUAAGGCUCUGUUGUUAAGGAAGCGGUACUUAACCAGAAAGGGACGGCUAACUACGUGCCAGCAGCCGCGGUAAUU
This 406-nucleotide ribosomal RNA is filed under the name uncultured bacterium. RNAcentral describes it as "partial 16S ribosomal RNA". It matches the Rfam family "Bacterial small subunit ribosomal RNA", at positions 28 to 525 of the family's 1533-position model. The record is from RNAcentral.